Molecule: ribosomal RNA, 492 nt
Filed under: uncultured bacterium
Lineage: Bacteria
Description: partial 16S ribosomal RNA
Rfam family: Bacterial small subunit ribosomal RNA
Source: RNAcentral
AGUGAACGCUGGCGGUAGGCCUAACACAUGCAAGUCGAACGGCAGCACAGUAAGAGCUUCCUCUUACGGGUGGCGAGUGGCGGACGGGUGAGGAAUACAUCGGAAUCUACUUUUUCGUGGGGGAUAACGUAGGGAAACUUACGCUAAUACCGCAUACGACCUACGGGUGAAAGCAGGGGAUCUUCGGACCUUGCGCGAUUGAAUGAGCCGAAGUCGGAUUAGCUAGUUGGCGGGGUAAAGGCCCACCAAGGCGACGAUCCGUAGCUGGUCUGAGAGGAUGAUCAGCCACACUGGAACUGAGACACGGUCCAGACUCCUACGGGAGGCAGCAGUGGGGAAUAUUGGACAAUGGGCGCAAGCCUGAUCCAGCCAUACCGCGUGGGUGAAGAAGGCCUUCGGGUUGUAAAGCCCUUUUGUUGGGAAAGAAAAGCAGCAGGUUAAUACCCCGCUGUUCUGACGGUACCCAAAGAAUAAGCACCGGCUAACUUCGUG